Molecule: transfer RNA, 72 nt
Filed under: Candidatus Colwelliibacteriota bacterium
Lineage: Bacteria; Candidatus Colwelliibacteriota
Description: tRNA-Arg
Rfam family: tRNA
About the family: Transfer RNA (tRNA) molecules are approximately 80 nucleotides in length. Their secondary structure includes four short double-helical elements and three loops (D, anti-codon, and T loops).
Source: RNAcentral
GCCCUUGUAGUUCAACGGAUAGAACGCGGGUUUCCUAAACCUGAAAUCGAGGUUCGAUUCCUCGCAGGGGCA